CCUAGGGGGGCUGCAGUGGGGAAUAUUGGACAAUGGGCGAAAGCCUGAUCCAGCCAUGCCGCGUGUGUGAAGAAGGCCUUCGGGUUGGAAAGCACUUUCAGUGGGGAAGAAAGCCUUGGGGCUAAUACCCUCGAGGAAGGACAUCACCCACAGAAGAAGCACCGGCUAACUCCGUGCCAGCAGCCGCGGUAAUACGGAGGGUGCGAGCGUUAAUCGGAAUUACUGGGCGUAAAGCGCGCGUAGGCGGUCUGAUAAGCCGGUUGUGAAAGCCCCGGGCUCAACCUGGGAACGGCAUCCGGAACUGUCAGGCUAGAGUGCAGGAGAGGAAGGUAGAAUUCCCGGUGUAGCGGUGAAAUGCGUAGAGAUCGGGAGGAAUACCAGUGGCGAAGGCGGCCUUCUGGACUGACACUGACGCUGAGGUGCGAAAGCGUGGGUAGCAAACAGGAUUAGAUACCUGGUAGUC
This 463-nucleotide ribosomal RNA is filed under the name Vreelandella stevensii. RNAcentral describes it as "partial 16S ribosomal RNA". It matches the Rfam family "Bacterial small subunit ribosomal RNA", at positions 338 to 795 of the family's 1533-position model. Lineage: Bacteria; Pseudomonadati; Pseudomonadota; Gammaproteobacteria; Oceanospirillales; Halomonadaceae. The record is from RNAcentral.